RNAcentral lists this ribosomal RNA (253 nucleotides) under uncultured bacterium. RNAcentral describes it as "partial 16S ribosomal RNA". It matches the Rfam family "Bacterial small subunit ribosomal RNA", at positions 524 to 776 of the family's 1533-position model. The record is from RNAcentral.
UACGGAGGGAGCUAGCGUUGUUCGGAAUUACUGGGCGUAAAGCGCGCGUAGGCGGCUUUGUAAGUUAGAGGUGAAAGCCCGGGGCUCAACCCCGGAACUGCCUUUAAGACUGCAUCGCUUGAAUCCGGGAGAGGUGAGUGGAAUUCCGAGUGUAGAGGUGAAAUUCGUAGAUAUUCGGAAGAACACCAGUGGCGAAGGCGGCUCACUGGACCGGCAUUGACGCUGAGGUGCGAAAGCGUGGGGAGCAAACAGG